GGGCCCGCACAAGCGGUGGAGCAUGUGGUUUAAUUCGAUGAUACGCGAGGAACCUUACCAGGGCUUAAAUGUAAGUUGCAUGGAUCAGAGAUGGUCCUUUCUUCGGACUACUUACAAGGUGCUGCAUGGUUGUCGUCAGCUCGUGCCGUGAGGUGUCAGGUUAAGUCCUAUAACGAGCGCAACCCCUGUCGUUAGUUGCCAUCAAGUAAAGUUGGGUACUCUAGCGAGACUGCCGGUGCAAACCGUGAGGAAGGUGGGGAUGACGUCAAAUCAUCACGGCCCUUACGUCCUGGGCUACACACGUGCUACAAUGGCCGGUACAGAGAGCAGCCACCACGCGAGUGGGAGCGAAUCUAUAAAACCGGUCUCAGUUCGGAUCGCAGUCUGCAACUCGACUGCGUGAAGCUGGAAUCGCUAGUAAUCGG
RNAcentral lists this ribosomal RNA (425 nucleotides) under uncultured bacterium. RNAcentral's name for it is "bacterial SSU rRNA". It matches the Rfam family "Bacterial small subunit ribosomal RNA", at positions 917 to 1345 of the family's 1533-position model. The record is from RNAcentral.